GGGGAUGUAGCUCAGUGGAACAGCACUUGCCUACUAUGUGUGAGGCCCUGAGUUCUAUCCCCAGCAUUUUUU
RNAcentral lists this transfer RNA (72 nucleotides) under Marmota marmota marmota (Alpine marmot). It matches the Rfam family "tRNA". From Rfam's summary of the family: Transfer RNA (tRNA) molecules are approximately 80 nucleotides in length. Their secondary structure includes four short double-helical elements and three loops (D, anti-codon, and T loops). RNAcentral also lists the same sequence under 1 other name. Lineage: Eukaryota; Metazoa; Chordata; Mammalia; Rodentia; Sciuridae. The record is from Rfam by way of RNAcentral.